RNAcentral lists this ribosomal RNA (471 nucleotides) under uncultured organism. RNAcentral's name for it is "partial 16S ribosomal RNA". It matches the Rfam family "Bacterial small subunit ribosomal RNA", at positions 334 to 797 of the family's 1533-position model. The record is from RNAcentral.
CACUCCUACGGGAGGCAGCAGUGGGGAAUUUUGGACAAUGGGCGAAAGCCUGAUCCAGCAAUGCCGCGUGUGUGAAGAAGGCCUUCGGGUUGUAAAGCACUUUUGUCCGGAAAGAAAUCCUUGGCUCUAAUACAGUCGGGGGAUGACGGUACCGGAAGAAUAAGCACCGGCUAACUACGUGCCAGCAGCCGCGGUAAUACGUAGGGUGCGAGCGUUAAUCGGAAUUACUGGGCGUAAAGCGUGCGCAGGCGGUUUGCUAAGACCGAUGUGAAAUCCCCGGGCUCAACCUGGGAACUGCAUUGGUGACUGGCAGGCUAGAGUAUGGCAGAGGGGGGUAGAAUUCCACGUGUAGCAGUGAAAUGCGUAGAGAUGUGGAGGAAUACCGAUGGCGAAGGCAGCCCCCUGGGCCAAUACUGACGCUCAUGCACGAAAGCGUGGGGAGCAAACAGGAUUAGAUACCCGGGUAGUCCC